UUGAACGCUGGCGGCAUGCCUUACACAUGCAAGUACGAACGGCAGCACGGACUUCGGUCUGGGUGGCGAGUGGCGAACGGGUGAGUAAUGUAUCGGAACGUACCUUCAGUGGGGGAUAACGUAGCGAAAGUUACGCUAAUACCGCAUAUUCUGUGAGCAGGAAAGCAGGGGAUCGCAAGACCUUGCGCUGAUUGAGCGGCCGAUAUCAGAUUAGCUAGUUGGUGAGGUAAAGGCUCACCAAGGCGACGAUCUGUAGCGGGGUCUGAGAGGAUGAUCCGCCACACUGGAACUGAGACACGGUCCAGACUCCUACGGGAGGCAGCAGUGGGGAAUUUUGGACAAUGGGGGCAACCCUGAUCCAGCCAUGCCGCGUGAGUGAAGAAGGCCUUCGGGUUGUAAAGCUCUUUCGGCCGGGAAGAAAUCGCAUGGGCUAAUACCCUGUGCGGAUGACGGUACCGGCAUAAGAAGCACCGGCUAACUACGUG
This 485-nucleotide ribosomal RNA is filed under the name uncultured bacterium. RNAcentral describes it as "bacterial SSU rRNA". It matches the Rfam family "Bacterial small subunit ribosomal RNA", at positions 30 to 507 of the family's 1533-position model. The record is from RNAcentral.